Molecule: ribosomal RNA, 789 nt
Filed under: uncultured bacterium
Lineage: Bacteria
Description: bacterial SSU rRNA
Rfam family: Bacterial small subunit ribosomal RNA
Source: RNAcentral
AGAGUUUGAUCAUGGCUCAGAUUGAACGCUGGCGGCAUGCCUUACACAUGCAAGUCGAACGGCAGCGCGGGGCAACCUGGCGGCGAGUGGCAAACGGGUGAGUAAUAUAUCGGAACGUGCCCUGGAGUGGGGGAUAACGCAGCGAAAGUUGCGCUAAUACCGCAUACGAUCUAAGGAUGAAAGCAGGGGACCGCAAGGCCUUGUGCUCCUGGAGCGGCCGAUAUCUGAUUAGCUAGUUGGUGGGGUAAAGGCCUACCAAGGCAUCGAUCAGUAGCUGGUCUGAGAGGACGACCAGCCACACUGGAACUGAGACACGGUCCAGACUCCUACGGGAGGCAGCAGUGGGGAAUUUUGGACAAUGGGCGAAAGCCUGAUCCAGCAAUGCCGCGUGAGUGAAGAAGGCCUUCGGGUUGUAAAGCUCUUUUGUCAGGGAAGAAACGGUGCGGGCUAAUAUCCCGCACUAAUGACGGUACCUGAAGAAUAAGCACCGGCUAACUACGUGCCAGCAGCCGCGGUAAUACGUAGGGUGCAAGCGUUAAUCGGAAUUACUGGGCGUAAAGCGUGCGCAGGCGGUUUUGUAAGUUUGUCGUGAAAGCCCCGGGCUCAACCUGGGAAUUGCGAUGAAGACUGCAAGGCUUGAAUCUGGCAGAGGGGGGUAGAAUUCCACGUAGCAGUGAAAUGCGUAGAGAUGUGGAGGAACACCGAUGGCGAAGGCAGCCCCCUGGGUCAAGAUUGACGCUCAUGCACGAAAGCGUGGGGAGCAAACAGGAUUAGAUACCCUAGUAGUCC